AGGUUUCAAAGGAUAAAGAAAAAGAACAAAAACAUUGCUUCUCCGCAUAUCUCUUGUCCGCUUCCAUGCACUUCUCUUGUCUCAAAUCUUGUACAUGUACUCUCUUUCAAGUUCACCUCUUUUCCUGCUAAAAAGAUUUUCAACUCCUUCAAACUCAAUUUGUCUCUUCCUGGGUAUCUCCGAUUGAGCUACUGUUCUCUGUUCUGCAGAUGGGUUUU
RNAcentral lists this unclassified non-coding RNA (218 nucleotides) under Hevea brasiliensis (rubber tree). Lineage: Eukaryota; Viridiplantae; Streptophyta; Magnoliopsida; Malpighiales; Euphorbiaceae. The record is from RNAcentral.